GUCCACGCCGUAAACGAUGUCUAUUAGCCGUUGGGGUCCUUGAGACUUUAGUGGCGCAGCUAACGCGAUAAAUAGACCGCCUGGGGAGUACGGCCGCAAGGUUAAAACUCAAAUGAAUUGACGGGGGCCCGCACAAGCGGUGGAGCAUGUGGUUUAAUUCGAAGCAACGCGAAGAACCUUACCUACUCUUGACAUCCAGAGAACUUGGCAGAGAUGCCUUGGUGCCUUCGGGAACUCUGAGAC
Molecule: ribosomal RNA, 243 nt
Filed under: uncultured bacterium
Lineage: Bacteria
Description: partial 16S ribosomal RNA
Rfam family: Bacterial small subunit ribosomal RNA
Source: RNAcentral